UGGGGAAUUUUCCGCAAUGGGCGCAAGCCUGACGGAGCAAUACCGCGUGAGGGAGGAAGGCUUUUGGGUUGUAAAGCUCUGUUGUUGGGGACGAAGGGCGAAGGGUUAAUAGCCUCUAGCCUGACGGUACCCUUCGAGGAAGCCCCGGCUAACUACGUGCCAGCAGCCGCGGUAAUACGUAGGGGGCGAGCGUUGUCCGGAAUUAUUGGGCGUAAAGAGCGUGUAGGCGGCCCGGUAAGUCCGCCGUGAAAACCUGGGGCUCAACCCUGGGCGUGCGGUGGAUACUGCUGGGCUAGAGGAUGGUAGAGGCGAGUGGAAUUCCCGGUGUAGCGGUGAAAUGCGCAGAGAUCGGGAGGAACACCAGUAGCGAAGGCGGCUCGCUGGGCCAUUCCUGACGCUGAGACGCGAAAGCGUGGGGAGCGAACAGGAUUAGAUACCCCCGUAGUCC
RNAcentral lists this ribosomal RNA (448 nucleotides) under uncultured prokaryote. Its description in RNAcentral is "bacterial SSU rRNA". It matches the Rfam family "Bacterial small subunit ribosomal RNA", at positions 355 to 796 of the family's 1533-position model. The record is from RNAcentral.